Molecule: ribosomal RNA, 277 nt
Filed under: uncultured bacterium
Lineage: Bacteria
Description: partial 16S ribosomal RNA
Rfam family: Bacterial small subunit ribosomal RNA
Source: RNAcentral
GACGAACGCUUGCGACGUGCCUAAGAAAUGCAAGUCGAACGGGGUCAUCCUUCGGGGUGGCCUAGUGGCGAACGGUCGCGUAACACGUGGGCAACCUGCCCUGAAGCGGGGGACAACACACCGAAAGGUGUGCUAAUACCGCAUGUGGAUCGCUGUGGCAUCACAGAUUAUCCAAAGCCGCAAGGCACUUCAGGAUGGGCCCGCGGCCUAUCAGCUAGUUGGUGAGGUAACGGCCCACCAAGGCUUCGACGGGUAGCUGGUCUGAGAGGACGAUCAG